CAUGAAGCAAAAAGAAGAAUAGAAGUUCUAUGCCGGGAAAGCUAGAACAUUUUGAUGGGAGCUGUGUUUCCUUCUGAGAUAAGAGUUAUCCUUCAACCACUGAACACAUAGGAGAAAAGUCCUGUCAGGAAAAGCUAUGGAAAUAACACCCGGAUCCAAACGCCCCUGGCCCGCCUGACCCGACCCCUCGGAGAAGCAGCUGAGUUACCCGACAUCCUGGUCUGCAGGAGAUGGCUCAGAGACUGGUUUCAGCAGCUGCAGGAACUCAGCACCUAGGAGGGUUCCUGUGGAGGGAAGAGAGGCAGAGAUGCGACAUUUUUAAAGUUUCACAAAACAUCCAGCUGCACCCAAGUCCCUGGAGCAGGAGACACACAGAAUUAAUGUUUUAUACCUUCGGGUAUAGGUUUGAGUUUUUUUCCCCUCAUGCCAAGUAUUUAAAACCUCUAGAAACCCA
Molecule: long non-coding RNA, 454 nt
Organism: Dipodomys ordii (Ord's kangaroo rat)
Lineage: Eukaryota; Metazoa; Chordata; Mammalia; Rodentia; Heteromyidae
Exons: 3
Source: RefSeq, a predicted model, not a curated record